This 292-nucleotide ribosomal RNA is filed under the name uncultured bacterium. RNAcentral describes it as "partial 16S ribosomal RNA". It matches the Rfam family "Bacterial small subunit ribosomal RNA", at positions 505 to 796 of the family's 1533-position model. The record is from RNAcentral.
GUGCCAGCCGCCGCGGUAAUACGUAGGUCACGAACGUUAUUCGGAAUCACUGGGCUUAAAGGGCGCGUAGGCGGCUUAAUAAGUUACGGCUGAAAUCCGGCGGCUCACCCGUCGAACUGGCUGUGAUACUGUUGAGCUUGAGGUGCGGAGGGAUGCGUGGAACUUGUGGUGGAGCGGUGAAAUGCCCAGAUAUCACAGGGAACACCGGUGGCGAAGGCGACGCAUUGGCCGCAAUCUGACGCUGAGGCGCGAAAGCAUGGGGAGCGAACGGGAUUAGAUACCCCAGUAGUCC